RNAcentral lists this non-coding RNA (48 nucleotides) under Schistosoma mansoni. The record is from RNAcentral. Lineage: Eukaryota; Metazoa; Platyhelminthes; Trematoda; Strigeidida; Schistosomatidae.
AUCCAGCUGGUGAGUCUCAAAUAGGACGAAACGCACGUCAAACUGGAU